AUUGAACGCUGGCGGCAGGCCUAACACAUGCAAGUCGAGCGGAUGAAGGGAGCUUGCUCCUGGAUUCAGCGGCGGACGGGUGAGUAAUGCCUAGGAAUCUGCCUGGUAGUUGGGGAUAACGUCCGGAAACGGGCGCUAAUACCGCAUACGUCCUGAGGGAGAAAGUGGGGGAUCUUCGGACCUCACGCUAUCAGAUGAGCCUAGGUCGGAUUAGCUAGUUGGUGGGGUAAAGGCCUACCAAGGCGACGAUCCGUAACUGGUCUGAGAGGAUGAUCAGUCACACUGGAGCUGAGACACGGUCCAGACUCCUACGGGAGGCAGCAGUGGGGAAUAUUGGACAAUGGGCGAAAGCCUGAUCCAGCCAUGCCGCGUGUGUGAAGAAGGUCUUCGGAUUGUAAAGCACUUUAAGUUGGGAGGAAGGGCAGUAAGUUAAUACCUUGCUGUUUUGACGUUACCAACAGAAUAAGCACCGGCUAACUUCGUG
RNAcentral lists this ribosomal RNA (484 nucleotides) under uncultured bacterium. RNAcentral describes it as "partial 16S ribosomal RNA". It matches the Rfam family "Bacterial small subunit ribosomal RNA", at positions 30 to 507 of the family's 1533-position model. The record is from RNAcentral.